AACUUCUCGGUGGUGUCAAAGGAGGGCGCCCCGGGCAGUUCCGCGCUUGGGGGCCCGCGGGGCACGGGGGCGUCGGGCUUCAGCGCGCUGCCGUGGAACCGCUGCAGGUGCCGGAGGAGGCAGCUGGUGCCCAGGUUGGUGGGCUUCUUCCCCCCGGCUGAUGGUGCGGCCGCAGUGCAGGCACACCACCUUGGUGGAGUCUGCGGAGCAAAUGGAAAAGUGGUUCCACAACUUCGAGGUCUUCUUGCUACUCACAGGAAACGUGGCCUGACUGCCCCUGCUGACCGCCGCCGGCAGGUCGGCCAGCCUGGAGGAGGAGCUUUCUGCAGAGGCCAACGUGGCGUACGGAGAGUUGGCCAGACUGGCUCCCAGAAAGCCCUUCUGGCCCCCGACGACUUCGGGGUGGCGUCGGUACAGGUGGCGCAUCAGGCAGCUGGUGCCCACGUCGCCCUUCUUGCCCCGGCUGAUGACGCAGCCGCAGUACCGACACACGGCCUUGAGGCUGUCCAUGGGGGCCAGCGAGAAGUGGUGCCAGACUUCCGACUUCAGCCUCUUCAUCACCUUCUUGUUCUGCUGGAAGACGGUGCCGGCCUCCGGCCGCCGGGGACUCGGCUCGUCAGCCUGCUGCUUCUCCGGGGAGGACACGGCCGAGGCCUCUCCCACGUCGUCGGAGGAGGACAGCACGGACGCGUCCUCCAGGAACGCGUCUCCAGGGUUCAGUCGCGACUGCAGGUCGUCAGCCAGCCUGUCGGGGGAGGAGGCGGCCGAGCGCGACUCUCCGACCAGCUUCCCUGGGGAGGACCCAGCGUGCAGCUCGCCCUCGGGAGGCAGCAGCGCGGGCAGCAGGGUGGGCGAGGCCGAGUAGAGGGGCGGGAUGCCCGGGCCGCCCCCGUUCUCCCGCAGCACGAUGGAGCGGUGCGCCCGCCACAUGUGCCGGAUGAGGCAGCUCGUGCCCAGGUCCUUCCCGUUCUUGCCGCGGCUGAACUCGUUCAUGCAGUGGAUGCACACGGCCUUGGAGUUGUCGAGGGGCGACAGGUAGAAGUGCUUCCACACGGCCGACCGCCGCCUGGACCCAGACGCGCUCUUGGGCAGCGGGAGGCUCUUCUCCGCCAAGCCCUCUGCCGCGUCGUCGUACUGGAGGGCGGGCAGCUGGGGCGACGCCCCUGCCAGGACCUCUUCCCUGCCGCACUUGUCAGAAACAGACAUGUCCGAGGAGACGUCUUCAGAGGACACCACGGACACCGACUCCUCCGUCACUCGGUCGGGGGACGGCAUCUUCGAGGCCAUCUUCUGCACCAGCUUCGCGGGCGAGAGCACGGAGCCGAGGUCGCCCACGUCCGCCGGCUGCGAGGGCAGCAGGAGCGAGGCCGAGGGCAGCGCGGCCACGGCGGCCACGCCCCCGUUCUCCGGGACGAGCACCGUGGGGUGCGCCCGGCGGACAUGCCGCAUGAGGCAGCUCGUGCUCAAGUCUUUCUCGUUUUUGCCCCGACUGAACUCCUUCAUGCAGUACAUGCAGAUGGCCUUCGUGCUGUCUCUGGGCGAGAUAAAAAAAUGCUUCCAGGCGGGCGACUUCUUCCUGGAGCUCACGUGGCGGCUGGAGAGCAGGCUCUGGGCCACGGCCUCCAUGGCCACGUCGUACAGCGUGCUGCUGUAGCGCGAGAACAGAGGCCCGUACUCGUCGUCCUUCUCCCUCUCGGGCGGCGCACAGGGGCGGCCCGGCCCUCCGGCCUCGGCCUGCUCAUCCCCGCUGUCUGUCUGCCUCACGUCCUCCUGCUCGCUCGGGAAGGCCAUUCUUUCCAAACCGUGACCAGGAAUCUGAUCAUCCUCCUCUUCUAUUUUAAAAUUUACAGAAUCCAAAUCCUCAUCCCCUCUGGGACGAGCUUCCUGGUCAUUCUCCAUGACUGA
Long non-coding RNA from Oryctolagus cuniculus (rabbit), 1905 nucleotides. NCBI's taxonomy places the organism in Eukaryota, Metazoa, Chordata, Mammalia, Lagomorpha, Leporidae. The record is from Ensembl.